This 647-nucleotide long non-coding RNA is filed under the name Equus caballus (horse). RNAcentral describes it as "lncRNA (ENSECAG00000049106.1)". The record is from RNAcentral. Lineage: Eukaryota; Metazoa; Chordata; Mammalia; Perissodactyla; Equidae.
CAAACCAUAGUCAUCUCUUCUUUGCAGCUGAGAAUUAGAUGUUUCCCAGUUUGCUUUGCAGUUAGAAGUGGUCAUGUGACUGAGUUCUAGCCAGUGUAAUGGGAAAGUGUUCUGUGUUCUUUCCAGGUCUGGCCCAUAAAACCCUCCCACAUGUGAUCCUCCAUGCUCUUUUUGUUCUUCCAGUUAACAGGAAUAAAGGUGUUUCCUAGGCUGCUCUUGGAAGGCACGUGUUAAAAAUGGAGCACCUCUGUCUUAGAUCACUGAAAUUGGAUCUCUGCUAUACAAGUCAAACUUAAUUAUAACUGAAAGAGUUAUAACACAAUCCAGAGGAGGAUUAUCUGCCCUGAAAGAAACAACUUGGUGAUCACAGAAAAAUCAAUCAGUGCAUUCUCUGGAGAUUACAAUAUGCAUCCUUAAUUUAUCACAGUAUAUUUCAAGUUAACAUUGUGUCACUCCAUGUAAAGUGAAAUAAUCGUACAACAGCCUGGAUAAAAUGAUUGAGAAUUUCCAUCCCAUGAUCCAUGAUCUGCAACACAUAAAAUAGAGGACAAACUGAGGUUUGAGACCAUUAUCACAGUGGUGCGCAAUUUAUGCUUAAUUCGUCUGUAGGCUCAUAGACUAGUUUCACCUGACCUCCAUUCCACAAG